Molecule: ribosomal RNA, 159 nt
Filed under: Ruminococcus sp. AF41-9
Lineage: Bacteria; Bacillati; Bacillota; Clostridia; Eubacteriales; Oscillospiraceae
Description: partial 23S ribosomal RNA
Rfam family: Bacterial large subunit ribosomal RNA
Source: RNAcentral
AAACGCUGAAGGCAUCUAAGCGUGAAGCCCCCCUUAAGAUGAGAUAUCCCAUUCGAAAGAAGUAAACCCCCUUGAAGACGACGAGGUAGAUAGGGCAGAGGUGGAAGUGUGGUAACACAUGGAGCUGACUGUUACUAAUCGGGUGAGGGCUUGACCAAG